UUCUGCUCCCCAACAAACUGGUACAUUUUGGUUCCCUGAUGCAAAAAAAGGGACAGCAGGUCACAGUUUUGUCUCACAGAUGACAAUGAAAGCUGUCCUCACACGCGUGUAGUCAAAAUCUAUUUGCAGAAACACAUUAAGAUCCGUAGACAUUCUUCACAAGCGAAACUACCACCUGUAAGUCAGAAAGGAGGUGUUUUUUUGUUUUUCAAAUAUCUUUGCUUGAAAUAAAUCUAACAAAUAAGUUAACAAAGCUCCUGCCCCAUCUUACGUCAUUACUGUUUGAUUGUGAUUGCUUCAGAAAUUUUACAGCGGUGUACUGUGGUGUCUUGAGCCCCGCACAGAAGUGGGGUCCUGUUAAAUAAGAGUACGGUUGGAGGAAAGGAUUAGCCAAUUUUAGUAUGUGUGCUGCCGAAGCAAGCAGGAUUAGCCAAAUGGCAACAAGGAGAUCUGUCUUCAGGGCCCAACUGUUGUCUGCCUGGGAGGACGGGAGAAGUUGGCGGACAGAGCCCAGGGGAAGGCGCCUCGGGGGAGCUGUGGUGAUUAGAGGGGCUGGCCUUGGCGAGUCCGGGCCGAGCCCAGCCAAGGUGACGCAGGACGCCUGCCAAGACGGGGCCGAACCCGAGCCAAGCCUGGGCCAGGCCUCUGAAAGAAGCGAUUUGGGAGACAGUCGGCUGGCACACAACACCAACAUGGGGAGUAGUGGUCAGGGUCCUGGACUCAAGGAAGGCUGUGGGUUUGAAGCUUGGCUGAGGAUGUGGCUGUUGUAUCCUUAA
Molecule: long non-coding RNA, 776 nt
Filed under: Lepisosteus oculatus (spotted gar)
Lineage: Eukaryota; Metazoa; Chordata; Actinopteri; Semionotiformes; Lepisosteidae
Description: lncRNA (ENSLOCG00000023206.1)
Source: RNAcentral